ACCAUGAGAGUUGGGAAUACCCGAAGCCUGUGAGCUAACUGUAAAGAGGCAGCAGUCGAAGGUAGAAUCAAUGAUUGGGUGAAGUCGUAACAAGGUAGC
This 99-nucleotide ribosomal RNA is filed under the name uncultured bacterium. Its description in RNAcentral is "partial 16S ribosomal RNA". It matches the Rfam family "Bacterial small subunit ribosomal RNA", at positions 1401 to 1500 of the family's 1533-position model. The record is from RNAcentral.